GAUGAACGUAGCGAAAUGCGAUAAGUAAUGUGAAUUGCAGAAUUCAGUGAAUCAUCGAAUCUUUGAACGCACAUUGCGCCCGCCAGUAUUCUGGCGGGCAUGCCUGUCUGAGCGUCAUUUCAACCCUCAUGCCCCUAGGGCGUGGUGUUGGGGAUCGGCCAAAGCCCGCGAGGGACGGCCGGCCCCUAAAUCUAGUGGCGGACCCGUCGUGGCCUCCUCUGCGAAGUAGUGAUAUUCCGCAUCGGAGAGCGAUGAGCCCCUGCCGUUAAACCCCCAACUUUCCAAGGUUGACCUCAGAUCAGGUAGGAAUACCCGCUGAACUUAAGCAUAUCAAUAAGCGGAGGA
RNAcentral lists this unclassified non-coding RNA (345 nucleotides) under soil metagenome. RNAcentral's name for it is "partial contains 5.8S ribosomal RNA, internal transcribed spacer 2, and large subunit ribosomal RNA". The stretch from base 1 to 117 matches the Rfam family "5.8S ribosomal RNA", at positions 38 to 154 of the family's 154-position model. The record is from RNAcentral.